RNAcentral lists this ribosomal RNA (276 nucleotides) under Triticum aestivum (bread wheat). RNAcentral describes it as "partial small subunit ribosomal RNA". The record is from RNAcentral. Lineage: Eukaryota; Viridiplantae; Streptophyta; Magnoliopsida; Poales; Poaceae.
AUGUGGAAUGAUGAUCUCAAAGUCACUAUUCAUGCUGCUUCCUUCCACUAUAUAUUAGCUAUUGUACUUCAUGUAACCACUGGUGUCCAAUUUUGUUUGGUCUGUAUAUAUGGUGAUCCCUAUCAUAGACAAACUACUGCCAUUUGGAGUGAGAUUUCAACUUUUGUGUAUGAUAAUCUGGGUCUGCCCAUGAUGUGUAUGGGAGACCUUAAUGACAUCUUGUAUGAUACGGAUGGUUGUAACGGCAAUGUUAACUAUUAUCGUAUGAAUGUUUUC